This 1398-nucleotide long non-coding RNA is filed under the name Populus trichocarpa (black cottonwood). RNAcentral describes it as "long non-coding RNA (PTRI_LNC003288)". Lineage: Eukaryota; Viridiplantae; Streptophyta; Magnoliopsida; Malpighiales; Salicaceae. The record is from RNAcentral.
AAAUAAAUUCAACUAAAAAAAUUCAUAUGAAAAAAAUAAAGUUGCAAUUGCUAAAAAUUUAAAAAUCCUAUAAAUAAAUCAACUAAAAAUUGAUCUCAUAUGAAAAAAAAAUCUCACAACAACAUUUAUACAAUUAUUAAGAACAAAAACAAUUAAAAAUAAAAUAAAAAACAAAUAUAGUGAAAAAAAUCAUGAAAAAAAAAGAAAAAAGAAAAAUCUUACCUUAAUGUAGUUGCAAGUGAAGCUAAUGAGAGAGAAAAAAUUCGUUAAGCAUAUUAAUUAAAAAAAAAAAAAACUAAGAGGAUAAAAGAAGAAAGAAGAAGAAGACAUACCCAAGCAUGGAGGAAAAGAGAAGGAGAUGAGGAGAGAAAAUAAGAGAAAGAAAUAUAUAUUGAUGUUUUUUACAUAUAGUGAAGAAGAAGAAUAAUAAGGAGAAGAAAUGAAUCUGCCUCUUGUGAAAUAAGGGGAUUCAGGCUUUUUAUUGGGGCGCGUUACCGACGGAUAAUUGAAUAUUAAUAUUUUUUAAUUAUUCCGUCGGUAAUUUCAUCGGUAAUAUUUAAUUUAAAUUUUCAAUUUCGUAAAAUUUUUUCAGAAACCGCCAACAAUUACCGACGGUUUUUCAAUCCGUCGGUGAUUACGUCUGUAAUAUCUAAAUGAAAAUUUUAAAUUAAUUGAUUUUUUUCAGAAAACCGCCAAAUAACACUCUCUGGAAAAUACCGACGGAAAAUUCCGUCGGUGAUUCUCUUUGUAAUUGACAUGAUGAAUAGUGUUUACCGACGAAAUUUACCGACGGAAAAUUCCGUCGGUAAUUCCAUCGGUAAAAAUGACACGUCAUCUUUUUUUUGCUUUGUUUUAAAUUUUUUUUCCCACGGUAAUUCCAUCGGUAUAUACCGAUGGAAUAUUUCUGUCGGUAAAAUCUCUUGGAAAUUUAUCGACGAAAAUAUUCUCUUGAUAUUUCCAUUUGUAUUUAUCAAUUUUCUGGUAAUGAGUGGAGAGAAAGACUUAGCACAAACAAAAUAAGCAAGGUUGUCUCUGGGAUUUGGAAGCAUAAAAAAGUUAUAUCAUCAAAACGAUCGCAAAAAUUCAUGGGAGUACAUAUAGCUUAUCAAUAUUAUGACUUCACAUCCACGUAUAUUUAGAUUAAAGAUAUCCCAUCACACAUAUUUUGUAUCUUUUACUUAGUGACACGUAUAAUAUUCUAGAGAAUUACUUGAAAUAUAUAAAUAAAAUUGAUCGAACUUAGCUUACGCUAAUGUAUAUUUAAGGUGCUAAUUCUCUACCUUAGUACCUCGUCAAGAGAAAUAUCAUCCUUAGAGCAUGCCAGUCGAAAAGAAAAGGACCGAGGAGGAACACAGAGUUCCACAGCAUGGGCCAAUAUCUCUUGAUGCCAAUGCCCAC